RNAcentral lists this ribosomal RNA (253 nucleotides) under uncultured bacterium. RNAcentral describes it as "partial 16S ribosomal RNA". It matches the Rfam family "Bacterial small subunit ribosomal RNA", at positions 524 to 776 of the family's 1533-position model. The record is from RNAcentral.
UACGGGGGGGGCAAGCGUUGUUCGGAAUUACUGGGCGUAAAGGGCUCGUAGGCGGCCAACUAAGUCAGACGUGAAAUCCCUCGGCUUAACCGGGGAGCUGCGUCUGAUACUGGAUGGCUUGAGUUUGGGAGAGGGAUGCGGAAUUCCAGGUGUAGCGGUGAAAUGCGUAGAUAUCUGGAGGAACACCGGUGGCGAAGGCAGCUCUCUGGGACGGUACUGACGCUGAGACGCGAAAGCGUGGGGAGCGAACAGG